This 402-nucleotide ribosomal RNA is filed under the name uncultured bacterium. RNAcentral describes it as "bacterial SSU rRNA". It matches the Rfam family "Bacterial small subunit ribosomal RNA", at positions 355 to 774 of the family's 1533-position model. The record is from RNAcentral.
UCGGGAAUUUUGGGCAAUGGGCGAAAGCCUGACCCAGCAACGCCGCGUGAGGGAUGAAGUAUUUCGGUAUGUAAACCUCGAAAGAAUGGGAAGAAUAAAUGACGGUACCAUUUAUAAGCUCCGGCUAACUACGUGCCAGCAGCCGCGGUAAUACGUAGGGAGCAAGCGUUGUUCGGAUUUACUGGGCGUGAAGGGCGCGUAGGCGGCGCGGUAAGUCACUUGUGAAAUCUCUGAGCUUAACUCAGAACGGCCAAGUGAUACUGCUGUGCUAGAGUGCGGAAGAGGCAACCGGAAUUCUUGGUGUAGCGGUGAAAUGCGUAGAUAUCAAGAGGAACACCUGAGGCGAAGGCGGGUUGCUGGGCCGACACUGACGCUGAUGCGCGAAAGCCAGGGGAGCAAACG